GUACACUCCUGCGGGAGGCAGCAGUGGGGAAUUUUGGACAAUGGGCGAAAGCCUGAUCCAGCAAUGCCGCGUGUGUGAAGAAGGCCUUCGGGUUGUAAAGCACUUUUGUCCGGAAAGAAAUCCUUGGCUCUAAUACAGUCGAGGGAUGACGGUACCGGAAGAAUAAGCACCGGCUAACUACGUGCCAGCAGCCGCGGUAAUACGUAGGGUGCGAGCGUUAAUCGGAAUUACUGGGCGUAAAGCGUGCGCAGGCGGUUUGCUAAGACCGAUGUGAAAUCCCCGGGCUCAACCUGGGAACUGCAUUGGUGACUGGCAGGCUAGAGUAUGGCAGAGGGGGGUAGAAUUCCACGUGUAGCAGUGAAAUGCGUAGAGAUGUGGAGGAAUACCGAUGGCGAAGGCAGCCCCCUGGGCCAAUACUGACGCUCAUGCACGAAAGCGUGGGGAGCAAACAGGAUUAGAUACCCCUGUAGUCCCAUGA
RNAcentral lists this ribosomal RNA (478 nucleotides) under uncultured organism. RNAcentral's name for it is "partial 16S ribosomal RNA". It matches the Rfam family "Bacterial small subunit ribosomal RNA", at positions 331 to 800 of the family's 1533-position model. The record is from RNAcentral.